Long non-coding RNA from Oncorhynchus tshawytscha (Chinook salmon), 2134 nucleotides. NCBI's taxonomy places the organism in Eukaryota, Metazoa, Chordata, Actinopteri, Salmoniformes, Salmonidae. The record is from Ensembl.
GGAAAAUGAACAUGUAAUGUGUCAUCUUUGACACUUGCAAGCAGACCGCAUUUCAAUCACAUUCAAUACACACCCAAGACUAACUGAAGUUACCAUUCUCAGCAUUCCAUUUCCUUAAAAUCUGUCAAAAUGACAUUUGGCACAGGACCAAUGUUUCCACUGUGUUCUAGCAUGCUACCUGGUCCUUAAAUCAUUUUACCUGUUAAGAUGACUAAUGCAUUUAUUCUAGCAAUGUAAGAGAUUUGUGAGCACUACUUUAGUCUUCUGGGGCAACAAGUUAUGACAGAAGAGAAGCUGCAUGUAUUAAAAUAUAGUUGACAAAUGGCCUACCAAAAGGAAGUAAGCAGAAACUUUUCUAAAUUAGGGGUGAACAUAGCCAUUAAGCUCAGUAAUGGUGGAUCAAAUUGAGCAAGUAGCCCACUUUAAAUGAAUUUGACAGAGUCAGACAACCAUGAGACGUUUCACCACAAAAACAGAAUUGAUGGUUACAUGCCACAGUAGCCCAUCUCCAGGGUACAAGCUUUCUCAGGUUUUUGUAAAACAGGAUUUGAUGUUUACAUGUCAACACAAAAUAAAUACUUUAGUAUCCCGAACGGGAUAUUGAUGGUCAGUGGCUUUAACGUAGAGCCAAUCUUGGGAUUUGUCAACCAGCAGCAAAGAAAAUAAAUUAUAUAUUUCAAAUCCAAAAGAAUAGGAACAUUCCCUUUUACUACAAAUUGCACUGGCAACCAACACGGUUCUCAACCAGCUAGCCAAAGGUAGACAUUAAACACACAGUAUUUCAAAACACAAGGAGGCACUUAAAGUACAAUAUUUUAUUGUUUUACAAGUAAUGCAGGGUAGCAUGAGCAGCAGCAUCUCCCUGGCCGACGCAAAAGCAUACAGUGGAAGCUUAAAGAAAGUGUCAGCAACAACUUGGAUUUGUCAUCUAAAGGAUGAAUCUACCAUUGCAAUUCUGUUGAUAGAUGAUUAGUACAAAUGAUUUCUAAAUCAGAACGCAAAGUGCAGGUGAGUGUAAAAGUUGCACAUUACAUCCCAGUAGACUUCCCUUGUGGCAGGGCACCUUUAGCAGGUUGUGAGUUUUUAGCAGGUGGGGAUAUGCUUGGUUCAGAGAUGCCAACGUCCUUGAGAGUAUCUCCGCUAUCAAAAUGGUAUAACCUCCCCAGUGGUGUGGCAGGUUUGGGAGUAGACAGUCUUGCCAUUCUCAUACACAGAUUUGUAAAUAUAUUGGGAUGAGAACUGACUAUUCAACGAUGCUGCCUUGAACGCUGAUGGAGCUGAGACAUUGGGUACUUUCAUUGGCCCCAUCAGACCCAAAAUCCUGAGAAACACCACUGCUGCUAAAAUCCAUGUUGCUUGAGGAGUUGGCCCUCCUGUUCGAGGCCUGUGGCUUCCGCCGAGGCAAGGGCGCCUGUGGCUUCCGCCGAGGCAAGGGCGCCUGUGGCUUCCGCCGAGGCAAGGGCGCCUGUGGCUUCCGCCGAGGCAAGGGCGCCUGUGGCUUCCGCCGAGGCAAGGGCUCCUGUGGCUUCCGCCGAGGCAUUUGAACCAGAUUUGAUGAGGUACCGACUUGAUGAGGUACUGUGGCCGGUUUCUUCACCUAAGGUAUUUGGGACAGUCGUUACGCUUGAUGAAGCAUUAUGGAUGGCCGCUUCCGAGGCAUUAUGGCCAGUUGCUUCCGCUGUCGAGGCACUGUGUCCAGCUUCUUCACGUAAGGCAUUUGGGCCAGUCGUGGCACUUGCUGAGGUAUUAUGGGUUGCUGCUUCUGCUGAGGCACUUGGGUCGGAUAUGUCACCCAAGGUAUUUAGGCCAGUCGUGACGCUUGAUGAAGCAUUGUGGGUGGCCGCUUCCGAGGCAUUAUGGGUGGCCACUGGCAUGGCACUGUGCCCAGUUGCUUCCACUACCGAGGCACCAUGGCCAGUUGCUUCACCUAAGGUAUUUGGGCCAGUCGUGACGCUUGAUGAAGCAUUGUGGCCAGUUGCUUCACCUAAGGUAUUUGUGCCAGUCUUGACGCUUGCUGAGGCAUUGUGGGUGACUGCUUCUGAGGCACGGGAUCCGGUUGCUCCACCUAAGGUAUUUGGGCCAGUCGUGACGCUUGCAGUGGCAUUACGGGUGGCUGCUUCACCUGCCGAGACAC